RNAcentral lists this small RNA (1354 nucleotides) under Pongo abelii (Sumatran orangutan). RNAcentral describes it as "processed transcript". The record is from RNAcentral. Lineage: Eukaryota; Metazoa; Chordata; Mammalia; Primates; Hominidae.
AGAUAGAAUCUGCAGUGCCUGAAAUCCAGCCUGCUGCUUACUCACAUCCUCAUACUCAGCUGCAGACUGUCUGACAGAAGGGCUGCCAACCUGAACUCCGGACAGACAGGUGCACAGCCAGGCCUGAUUCAGCAGGAAGCAUCUCAGACACCAACCACUAUGCUGCCAGCAGUGGCCCGGGGCUACCGGGGCUGGUUUCAUCCCUGUGCUAGGCUUUCUGUGAGGAUGAGCAGCACUGGGAUAGACCGGAAGGGCAUCCUGGCUAACCGAGUAGCCGUGGUCACGGGGUCCACCAGUGGGAUCGGCUUUGCCAUGGCCCGGCGUCUGGCCCGGGAUGGGGCCCACGUGGUCAUCAGCAGCCGGAAGCAGCAGAAUGUGGACCGGGCCGUGGCCGAGCUGCAGGGGGAGGGGCUGAGCGUGGCGGGCAUCGUGUGCCACGUGGGGAAGGCUGAGGACCGGGAGCAGCUGGUGGCCAAGGCCCUGGAGCACUGUGGGGGUGUCGACUUCCUGGUGUGCAGCGCAGGGGUCAACCCUCUGGUGGGGAGCACUCUGGGGACCAGUGAGCAGAUCUGGGACAAGGGACCUCAGGGUGGUACCCCCUUCUGACAUCUGGGCCACUUCUUGCAGUCAUUGGGGGUCAUCCCCCACACUGGUAACCUGUCAUCAAAUGGGCCACAGCAACAUUCAGCUUAAGUAUUUCUCCUUCCCACAUCCAAGGGAUUGAGUGGGCAUGAGACUGGGGAGUGGAAAAAACAGUGAACAGUCCUGGUCAGUUGCAGAUGUGCAGUCUCAUUCCCUAGAGAUGCAGGAUGCAGCUGACCUGAAUCAGGACAGAUCCCUGCAGGAGGGACUCCUGGUGCCAUGUCAGUCCCACCUGGCACUGCCCUAGCUCCCAGGCUCUGCCUCUGCAUCUUUCCUUGCUACUUCCUCUUUCACUUCUCCCCUGUUCCCAGACCCACCAGACAGAGCUUCCAGAGUGUCAGGACCUGUGUGGCUUAGCCAAGAUUCAGACUUUAGUCAAAAGCAGGAUCAGUAUAGACAUCUAGCUCCCAGAAUGGCAAUUCUCUGUUGUGUCUCCCUGUUUGUAUUGGCUGCAGGAAAGCUCAGAGCCAAGUCUGCGAUAAACUGGUGUGUGUAGGCCCUUACAGCCUGCAUUUUUGUGACCAAAUAAUAGAAUAAAUGCUCAGUCCUUAUCACAUGCUGUGAACUGUAGGCACCAACCUCACUCUUGCUUUUUAUUAUUUUUCUACACUGAUUUUUCCUUUUCUCCAUUUCUUCACACAUAGUACCUAUUUGAUUUAUUUUAUGCUGUUGCAUUGUGAGUGUGCCUUAAAUUCUAUGGGGACAAGGCAAG